UACAGAGGUGGCAAGCGUUGUUCGGAAUUACUGGGCGUAAAGGGCGCGUAGGCGGUCUUGCAAGUCCUGUGUGAAAUCCCUCGGCUCAACUGAGGAACUGCACAGGAAACUGCUUGGCUUGAGUUCGGGAGAGGGAAGCGGAAUUCCGGGUGUAGCAGUGAAAUGCGUAGAUAUCGUAAGGAAGACCAGUGGCGAAGGCGGAUCUCUGGACAGUUACUGACACUGAGGCACGAAGGCCAGGGGAGCAAACGGG
Molecule: ribosomal RNA, 253 nt
Filed under: uncultured bacterium
Lineage: Bacteria
Description: partial 16S ribosomal RNA
Rfam family: Bacterial small subunit ribosomal RNA
Source: RNAcentral